GAGUUUGAUCGUGGCUCAGAGCGAACGCUGGCGGCAUGCUUAACACAUGCAAGUCGCACGGUCAGCAAUGGCAGUGGCGGACGGGGUGAGUAACACGUAGGAAUCUAUCUCUGGGUGGGGGACAACAGUGGGAAACUACUGCUAAUACCGCAUGAUACCUGAGGGUCAAAGGCGUAAGUCGCCUGGAGAGGAGCCUGCGUCUGAUUAGCUUGUUGGUGGGGUAAAGGCCUACCAAGGCUACGAUCAGUAGCUGGUCUGAGAGGAUGAUCAGCCACAUUGGGACUGAGACACGGCCCAAACUCCUACGGGAGGCAGCAGUGGGGAAUAUUGGACAAUGGGCGAAAGCCUGAUCCAGCAAUGCCGCGUGUGUGAAGAAGGUCUUCGGAUUGUAAAGCACUUUUGGCAGGGACGAUGAUGACGGUACCUGCAGAAUAAGCCCCGGCUAACUUCGUGCCAGCAGCAGCCGCAGUAAC
This 473-nucleotide ribosomal RNA is filed under the name bacterium enrichment culture clone ALO1_GLFRUDD03F5XTG. Its description in RNAcentral is "bacterial SSU rRNA". It matches the Rfam family "Bacterial small subunit ribosomal RNA", at positions 9 to 524 of the family's 1533-position model. The record is from RNAcentral.